GGGUGAUCGCUGGCUGCCCUCUGGCUGCGCUGCCAGAGGACGUGCAGUCGGUCGCUCCACUGCAGCCACGCCUCAUCAGUUGAGGCUUGGCUGUCGAUGGGUGCGGAUGCUGCAUCGCCGCGGGAGAAAGGGUCCUCAGGAUGUCCCCAGAGUAUCAUCGUGUCCUCGUCCUUCGAGGUGCAUUUCCACAACGUCCUGAGGAUGACAUUCGUGAACUGUCUGUGAAGAGUCAUUCAGGAUGUACGCAAAUGACAAUCACUGGAAGCUCCUAUGAUGACAGCCUGUGGACUUCCUCCGUUUAUCCCAUCACGGACGAGGACGUGAUGACACUUUGAGGACAUCCUGAGGACCGCGUGUGUUCUUUGGAAGGUUUGGCAAGCCGUCGUCCAGGCGGCAGAUCUGUACCAAGAAACGAGCUCGUUGGCCAAGCACUCCUGAACGUCCUGAAUAUCUGGACAUCCAUCCAAUAUCUGUGGGAUGUCCCGAAACGACAUUCGCGUUUCUAUUUUAUCGAGUAAAUCACAGAUGUCCUAGGUAUGUCUGCAGGAUAUCUCGCUUUGGACAUUUGAAUGGCGGAAAAGCCUGGAGAUCCCUUGAAUACCCAUGAAAGAUCCAGUAUACGAGAUUUUGGGCAUUGGUUGAACGUCACAGGAACGUCGCCAGGACGUUGACUGAAGAUAUGCGAAUAAACGUGAAGUUUAUGACA
This is a long non-coding RNA of Ornithodoros turicata, 706 nucleotides long. RefSeq lists it as uncharacterized. NCBI's taxonomy places the organism in Eukaryota, Metazoa, Arthropoda, Arachnida, Ixodida, Argasidae. The transcript is spliced from 3 exons. The record is from RefSeq and is a predicted model, not a curated record.